This is a non-coding RNA of Caenorhabditis elegans, 102 nucleotides long. Lineage: Eukaryota; Metazoa; Nematoda; Chromadorea; Rhabditida; Rhabditidae. The record is from Ensembl.
AAAACGUUCAAUCACUGUCAAAAGAACCCGAAACGACGAGACGGUCAAUUCUUCUUAUGAUUUAGCCAAGAUAAACACUGUCGUGCCGCCGUACUUGUGACC